This 465-nucleotide ribosomal RNA is filed under the name uncultured bacterium. Its description in RNAcentral is "bacterial SSU rRNA". It matches the Rfam family "Bacterial small subunit ribosomal RNA", at positions 432 to 896 of the family's 1533-position model. The record is from RNAcentral.
UCUUUCGACACCGACGAAGGCCCUCACGUGUGGGGGUGGACGGUAGGUGUAGAAGAAGCACCGGCUAACUACGUGCCAGCAGCCGCGGUAAUACGUAGGGUGCGAGCGUUGUCCGGAUUUAUUGGGCGUAAAGAGCUCGUAGGCGGUUUGUCGCGUCGGCCGUGGAAACCUACCGCUUAACGGUGGGCGUGCGGUCGAUACGGGCAGACUUGAGUUCGGUAGGGGAGACUGGAAUUCCUGGUGUAGCGGUGAAAUGCGCAGAUAUCAGGAGGAACACCGGUGGCGAAGGCGGGUCUCUGGGCCGAUACUGACGCUGAGGAGCGAAAGCGUGGGGAGCGAACAGGAUUAGAUACCCUGGUAGUCCACGCCGUAAACGUUGGGCGCUAGGUGUGGGGACCAUUCCACGGUUUCUGUGCCGCAGUAACGCAUUAAGCGCCCCGCCUGGGGAGUACGGCCGCAAGGCUA